GCCGGGUGCGGUGGCACGUGCCUGUAGUCCCAGCUAUUCGGGAGGCUGAGGCUGGAGGAUCUCUUGAGUCCAGGAGUUCUGGGCUGUAGUGCACUAUGCCGAUCAGGUGUCCGCACUAAGUUCGGCAUUGAUACGGUGACCUCUGGGAGUGGGGGACCACCAGGUUGCCUAAGGAGGGGUAAACCGGCCCAGGUCGGAAAUGGAGCAGGUCAAAACUCCCCUGCUGAUCAGUAGUGGGAUUGUGCCUCUGAAUAGCCACUGCACUCCAGCCUGGGCAACAUAGGGAGACCCCGUCUCUU
Callithrix jacchus (white-tufted-ear marmoset) is the source of this 299-nucleotide unclassified non-coding RNA. It matches the Rfam family "Metazoan signal recognition particle RNA". From Rfam's summary of the family: The signal recognition particle (SRP) is a universally conserved ribonucleoprotein. Lineage: Eukaryota; Metazoa; Chordata; Mammalia; Primates; Cebidae. The record is from Ensembl.